RNAcentral lists this transfer RNA (76 nucleotides) under Candidatus Nomurabacteria bacterium. Its description in RNAcentral is "tRNA-Thr". It matches the Rfam family "tRNA". Rfam says of the family: Transfer RNA (tRNA) molecules are approximately 80 nucleotides in length. Their secondary structure includes four short double-helical elements and three loops (D, anti-codon, and T loops). Further hydrogen bonds mediate the characteristic L-shaped molecular structure. tRNAs have two regions of fundamental functional importance: the anti-codon, which is responsible for specific mRNA codon recognition, and the 3' end, to which the tRNAs corresponding amino acid is attached (by aminoacyl-tRNA synthetases). tRNAs cope with the degeneracy of the genetic code in two manners: having more than one tRNA (with a specific anti-codon) for a particular amino acid; and 'wobble' base-pairing, i.e. permitting non-standard base-pairing at the 3rd anti-codon position. The record is from RNAcentral. Lineage: Bacteria; Candidatus Nomuraibacteriota.
GCCGUUGUAGCUCAGCCGGUAGAGCAUUCCCAUGGUAAGGGAAAGGUCAGCAGUUCGAAUCUGCUCGACGGCUCCA